Molecule: ribosomal RNA, 403 nt
Filed under: uncultured bacterium
Lineage: Bacteria
Description: partial 16S ribosomal RNA
Rfam family: Bacterial small subunit ribosomal RNA
Source: RNAcentral
AUUGAACGCUGGCGGUAGGCCUAACACAUGCAAGUCGAGCGAGCGGCGGACGGGUGAGUAAUGUAUGGGGACUGCCCGAUAGAGGGGGAUAACUACUGGAAACGGUAGCUAAUACCGCAUACUAUCGGAUAACCCAUAUAGGAUUAGCUAGUGGGUGAGGUAAUGGCUCACCUAGGCGACGAUCCCUAGCUGGUCUGAGAGGAUGAUCAGCCACACUGGGACUGAGACCCGGCCCAGACUCCUACGGAGGCAGCAGUGGGGAAUAUUGCACAAUGGGCGGAAGCCUGAUGUAGCCAUGCCGCGUGUAUGAAGAAGGCCCUAGGGUUGUAAAGUACUUUCAGUCGGGAGUCGUUACCGACAGAAGAAGCACCGGCUAACUCCGUGCCAGCAGCCGCGGUAAUUC